This 609-nucleotide ribosomal RNA is filed under the name Lactobacillus sp. SL. RNAcentral describes it as "bacterial SSU rRNA". It matches the Rfam family "Bacterial small subunit ribosomal RNA", at positions 49 to 630 of the family's 1533-position model. Lineage: Bacteria; Bacillati; Bacillota; Bacilli; Lactobacillales; Lactobacillaceae. The record is from RNAcentral.
UCUAUCAUGCAGUCGUACGCUUCUUUUUCCACCGGAGCUUGCUCCACCGGAAAAAGAAGAGUGGCGAACGGGUGAGUAACACGUGGGUAACCUGCCCAUCAGAAGGGGAUAACACUUGGAAACAGGUGCUAAUACCGUAUAACAAUCGAAACCGCAUGGUUUUGAUUUGAAAGGCGCUUUCGGGUGUCGCUGAUGGAUGGACCCGCGGUGCAUUAGCUAGUUGGUGAGGUAACGGCUCACCAAGGCCACGAUGCAUAGCCGACCUGAGAGGGUGAUCGGCCACAUUGGGACUGAGACACGGCCCAAACUCCUACGGGAGGCAGCAGUAGGGAAUCUUCGGCAAUGGACGAAAGUCUGACCGAGCAACGCCGCGUGAGUGAAGAAGGUUUUCGGAUCGUAAAACUCUGUUGUUAGAGAAGAACAAGGAUGAGAGUAACUGUUCAUCCCUUGACGGUAUCUAACCAGAAAGCCACGGCUAACUACGUGCCAGCAGCCGCGGUAAUACGUAGGUGGCAAGCGUUGUCCGGAUUUAUUGGGCGUAAAGCGAGCGCAGGCGGUUUCUUAAGUCUGAUGUGAAAGCCCCCGGCUCAACCGGGGAGGGUCAUUGGA